Molecule: unclassified non-coding RNA, 335 nt
Filed under: uncultured fungus
Lineage: Eukaryota; Fungi
Description: partial contains small subunit ribosomal RNA, internal transcribed spacer 1, and 5.8S ribosomal RNA
Rfam family: Eukaryotic small subunit ribosomal RNA (bases 1-73)
Source: RNAcentral
GCAAACUUGGUCAUUUAGAGGAAGUAAAAGUCGUAACAAGGUUUCCGUAGGUGAACCUGCGGAAGGAUCAUUAAAAAGUUGUUCGAAGCGGUCUCAGGCACUGCCAGGUGACCGCUUAGACAUCAACACCCUCUGUAUAUCUACCGCGUUGCUUUGGCGGGACGGCAGCCAGCAGCCCUGCUGGGAAGCUGUCCGUGGGACCUCUUAAGGCCCCGCGAGCGCCCGUCAGAGAACUGUCAAACUCAUGUUAAACCGUGAUGUCUGAGCUUUACAAGCAAUAAGUUAAAACUUUCAACAACGGAUCUCUUGGUUCUCGCAUCGAUGAAGAACGCAGC